CAGCAGCCGCGGUAAUACGUAGGUGGCAAGCGUUGUCCGGAAUUAUUGGGCGUAAAGGGCUCGCAGGCGGUUUCUUAAGUCUGAUGUGAAAGCCCCCGGCUCAACCGGGGAGGGUCAUUGGAAACUGGGAAACUCGAGUGCAGAAGAGGAGAGUGGAAUUCCACGUGUAGCGGUGAAAUGCGUAGAGAUGUGGAGGAACACCAGUGGCGAAGGCGACUCUCUGGUCUGUAACUGACGCUGAGGAGCGAAAGCGUGGGGAGCGAACAGGAUUAGAUACCCGUGUAGUCCCUGUCUCUUAUAC
RNAcentral lists this ribosomal RNA (301 nucleotides) under uncultured bacterium. RNAcentral's name for it is "partial 16S ribosomal RNA". It matches the Rfam family "Bacterial small subunit ribosomal RNA", at positions 509 to 807 of the family's 1533-position model. The record is from RNAcentral.